RNAcentral lists this small RNA (4044 nucleotides) under Pongo abelii (Sumatran orangutan). RNAcentral's name for it is "processed transcript". The record is from RNAcentral. Lineage: Eukaryota; Metazoa; Chordata; Mammalia; Primates; Hominidae.
GAGCGCGAGCAGUAGCUGGGUGGGCACCAUGGCUGGGAUCACCACCAUCGAGGCGGUGAAGCGCAAGAUCCAGGUUCUGCAGCAGCAGGCAGAUGAUGCAGAGGAGCGAGCUGAGCGCCUCCAGCGAGAAGUUGAGGGAGAAAGGCGGGCCCGGGAACAGAGGUAUGAAGGUUAUUGAAAACCGGGCCUUAAAAGAUGAAGAAAAGAUGGAACUCCAGGAAAUCCAGCUCAAAGAAGCUAAGCACAUUGCAGAAGAGGCAGAUAGGAAGUAUGAAGAGGUGGCUCGUAAGUUGGUGAUCAUUGAAGGAGACUUGGAACGCACAGAGGAACGAGCUGAGCUGGCAGAGUCGUGAGUAUCUAGCUCCCCAAAUCUUCUCAUUACCAAUUUGUCCCUUCCCCUUUGGCUUGGGCACUAAUAUGAAUAAAUUAGCAUUCCUUCAACCUUGUUAAACAGGGCCUAGGGAAUGGGAGUCAUCUAUAGUGCUUUUUUAGGCCCAAGAAUGGUUUUAGGCUUCCUUAUUCUCCUGACUAGUGACAAGUGACAAAAGAGGCUUUCUUAUUUUUUGUUGGUAGGGUUUACAAAUUGAGAGCAAAUAAGGACUAAUACAUGGUAAAUAGUUAACUGGAAGAUCCUACUGGGUCGUUCCACCUGGUGUGGAAGACAUCAAAGUGGCUAUCCUGAUUUAAGAUCUAGUGUCUGGCUGGGUGUGGUGGCUCACACCUGUAGUCCCAGCUACUUAGUAUGCCAAGGCCGGAGGGUUGCUUGAACCCAGGAGUUGGAGGCCAGCCUGGGCGUCAUAGGGAGACCCUGUCCCUAAAACAAAUAAAUCUUAAAAAAAAAUCUGGUGUCUGUUUUUUGCCACUUUGCCAAUCUGCUGGGGAACCUUAGGGCAAGGGUAGAUAUUAACUGCUUUCCUGUCGGUACCUUCUGGGCCUUGAUUAACAAAGUCAGUGUUGAAUGCAUAUGUAUUUGUGCUUCCCUCUUACAUUCCCGUCUGCCAGACAUAACAUAUCAUGACCAUGGUGGUGUUCUCUUCCCAUUUUUUGAAUUUUUUUUUUCGUUUUGCUGCUUGUUUUCUUGCUGUGUUCCUUUUUGACCUUUCUCCCUCCCCACAACCUGGCUUGUGCCAUCCCCGUGACUAUCACUAACAGCCGUUGCCGAGAGAUGGAUGAGCAGAUUAGACUGAUGGACCAGAACCUGAAGUGUCUGAGUGCUGCUGAAGAAAAGGUACUAACCAUUAAGCCCACAGCAAGGUUAUAUAUGUGGUGUGGUUUUGUUUUGUUUUGUUUUUGUUUUGCAGCUGCCUCCCCUCCACUUGAUUUUGUUGAGUGCUGUCUCAUCUCUUCAUGGAAUGCUCCAUUCUUUUCCACUUACUUGGCAUCUUUCAUCUCUUCUUUCCUAGUUGCUUCGCUGCCUCUCCACAGGGUCUCCUUCCUUUGGGUGAUUUGGGGGACUGUUUGGGUUGGGCAUUUGUUCCCACCUCCACCCCAGGUAGCAGUUAUGACUUGUUCCUGGUAGUGGAUUUCUCUCAAGUGCUUUAUUAGUAUUCAAACAUUUUGACCCCAGGAAGGUCUAGCUCCUGACACGUUCUAUGGUAGAGGGAGGAGGGUUGAUGCUUGCUCAGGUUACUUGGGAACAUCUCUUCCCCAGUAUGCCUUCCAACUCUCUCUACAUAUAGGUUCAAUUCACGUCUAUGUGUCUCUCUCCCUUUUUUUAUUCUCUUCCUUUUCCCUUUCCUCUCCUGUGGUAUUUAAAAUAUUCACAGUAAGUGUUCUGAGCUGGAGGAGGAGCUGAAGAAUGUCACCAACAACCUCAAGUCUCUUGAGGCUCAGGCGGAGAAGGUAGGGGCUGGUUUGUGAAAGUGACAGGCUUUGGGGCCUGGGCCCAGCCCUGCCCUUGAUGAGAGACUGGAGACACGCAUUCCAUAUAUAAUCCGUGAGGCGUGUCCUCUUCCUACCUCCUUACCAUGUAUUCAGGUUCUGGGUUUAAUGCUACUUUCUGUGCACUUUGAUUGCUUUAAUUAAAAUAACUUCAUGGUCUCAGGUUACUGGAGUCAUGUGCUGCUUAGGCUGAUACUGCUGUGCUGAAAAGCAAUAAUCAGGGGCUCUAACAGGCUUUCUAGCAGACAGAUGGGGGCAACAGACAGCAUCAGCUCUGAGACCUAAUGAGCAAUCAAGACAGAUGACUUCACUUUGCCAUCAUGUGGGUGUGUUUCAGUCAUGUGACCUUGGGGUGCCACUACUCUUGCUCAUUAAGCAGGGGAAAGGAAAAACACCUCCUUGGGUUGAUCUGAAUAAUAUCAAAGCUUAGAUCCAUCUUAAAAAGUCAUGGAGAAUUUUAACCUGAGGAUCUCAUGGCUCUAAAGACAUAGAUUUCUGGAUUUCAAGGACCUAUUGUCCAGAGCCAGGCCUUGCUCUUACUCUUGGACCAUUCAGCACAUUUAGUCCAAGAGGAUAUUCAAUGUAAGAGUUACGUGUAGGGAGAGGGGUAUUGCCCGUGUGACUAAUUUCUACUCUGAAAUUUUUGAUCUACUUACCUUACAGUACUCUCAAAAAGAAGACAAAUAUGAGGAAGAAAUCAAGAUUCUUACUGAUAAACUCAAGGAGGCAGAGACCCGUGCUGAGUUUGCUGAGAGAUCGGUAGCCAAGCUGGAAAAGACAAUUGAUGACUUGGAAGAUAAACUGAAAUGCACCAAAGAGGAGCACCUCUGUACACAAAGGAUGCUGGACCAGACCCUGCUUGACCUGAAUGAGAUGUAGAACGCCCCAGUCCCACCCUGCUGCUGCUCCUCCCUCUGACCCAGACUCCGCCUGAGGCCAGCCUGCCGGAAGCUGACCUUUAACUGAGGGCCGAUCUUUAACUGGAAGGCUGCUUUCUCCUUUCGCCACCCCCUCCUUCCCUGUGUCUUUUUCGCCAAACUGUCUCUGCCUCUUCCUGGAGAAUCCAGCUGGGCUAGAGGCUGAGCACCUUUGGAAACAACAUUUAAGGGAAUGUGAGCACAAUGCAUAAUGUCUUUAAAAAGCAUGUUGUGAUGUACACAUUUUGUAAUUACCUUUUUUGUUGUUUUGUAGCAACCAUUUGUAAAACAUUCCAAAUAAUUCCACGGCCCUGAAGCAGCAAUCGAAUCCCUUUCUCGCUUUUGGAAGGUGACUUUUCACCUUAAUGCAUAUUCCCCUCUCCAUAGAGGAGAGGAAAAGGUAUAGGCCUGCCUUACUGAGAGCCAAACAGAGCCCAGAGAGACUCCAUUAUGGGAAACCUCAUUGCUCUGUACAAAGUACUAGGUAAACCAGAAAGGUGAUUCCAGGAGGAGUUAGCCAAACAACAACAAAAACAAAAAAUGUGCUGUUCAAGUUUUCAGCUUUAAGAUAUCUUUGGAUAAUGUUAUUUCUACUUUUUAUUUUUUUUCAUUAGAAGUGACCAAAUUAAGAUGGUAAGACCUCUGAGACCAAAAUUUUGUCCCAUCUCUACCCCCUCCCAACUGCUUACAGAAUGGAUCAUGUCCCCCUUAUGUUGAGGUGACCACUUAAUUGCUUUCCUGCCUCCUUGAAAGAAACAAAGAAAGAAGAUUGUGUUUUUGCCACUGAUUUAGCCAUGUGAAACUCAUCUCAUUACCCUUUUCUGGGUUUGAAGCUGCUGUCUCUAGAAGUGCCAUCUCAUUGUGCUUUGUAUCAGUCAGUGCUGGAGAAAUCUUGAAUAGCUUAUGUACAAAACUUUUUAAAUUUUAUAUUAUUUUGAAACUUUGCUUCUUUGGGUUUGUGGCACCCUGGCCACCCCAUCUGACUGUGACAGCCUCUGCAGUCCGUGGGCUGGCAGUUUGUUGAUCUUUUAAAGUUUCUUUCCCUACCCAGUCCCCAUUUUCUGGUAAGGUUUCUAGGAGGUCUGUUAGGUGUACAUCCUGCAGCUUAUUGGCUUAAAAUGUACUCUCCUUUUAUGUGGUCUCUUUCAGGCCGAUUGGGAGAAAGAGAAAUCAAUAGUGCAACUGUUUUGAUACUGAAUAUUGACAAGUGUCUUUUUGAAAUAAAGAACCAGUCCCUCCAACCCUC